GGCUGAGCUUGGUGACUGUGGGAGUGGGGGUGGGGGCGGCAUGGGGGAAAUUGGGCGAAGGGAAGAGAAUGUGAGAUUACAUGGAUUAAAAAUGAAGUGAAAACGAGGGUUUAAAACAUUUUUUUUAUUUUUUUUUAAACCGACGAUCAAGGCAGAGGAAGCGCUCAGAUAAUGGACACGAUGUUUGGUAUUUUGUUUGUUGUUUUUUUUUUUCCCCCCCAAACAAAAGAAUGAGCCGCUCGCGCGUUUAUUGGGAGCCCCGCGAAACCCCGAAACCCGGGACGUUUUUCAUUAAUACUAUACAAACGGGUCACGUGACGGCAAUCCAAUGGCCGAGGGGCUUACAUUUCAAAAGGGGCUACCGCCGCCCAAUGGCCGGCCACGAUGCAUGCAAAUAAGACUGGCUUUUUUCACCGUGGAAUGCCAACUAUUCCAAGAUGGAGGCUGCGGUCGACAGGCUCGAUGCAAACGAAUACCAGUUUCCUUGCUGAUGAACCCGUCGCCUCGCACAUAACAGCGACUGUCAUUGUGACCCCUGGGAGGCACCGAGAAGUUUUCGUGAAAAGGCGACCCUACGGGGCCGACCGGAGAGGGCCGGCAGACCAAGGGAUGACCGAUGGGCUCCUCUUAUCUCCUCUGACGGGCACAGAAAUGCGAAGAAUGGGCGUUCAAGAUGGUCGAAGGGGCGGAGGCGCUCAGGGAGACGCUUGCUGUCCAGCAGUAUGGGCUUUGAGAGGAGAUAAGUCGAUGCUCCAACUUCAGGCGCAAGGCUCGUGGAUUGUGAUGUCAUACCUCCAUCGCCGAGCUGAGGUUUUACAGACCGUGAAUGAUGGUGCGUCGGCGGGACCUGCAGGUGACCCCGACAAAUGGAAAACGGUGAUUAAUUGA
This 888-nucleotide long non-coding RNA is filed under the name Eptatretus burgeri (inshore hagfish). RNAcentral's name for it is "lncRNA (ENSEBUG00000017530.1)". The record is from RNAcentral. Lineage: Eukaryota; Metazoa; Chordata; Myxini; Myxiniformes; Myxinidae.